GGGGAUGCAGCUCAGUGGCAGAGUGCUUGCCUAGCAGGCACAAAGGCCUGGGUUCAACCCCCAGUACCACUA
RNAcentral lists this transfer RNA (72 nucleotides) under Fukomys damarensis (Damara mole-rat). It matches the Rfam family "tRNA". From Rfam's summary of the family: Transfer RNA (tRNA) molecules are approximately 80 nucleotides in length. Their secondary structure includes four short double-helical elements and three loops (D, anti-codon, and T loops). The record is from Rfam by way of RNAcentral. Lineage: Eukaryota; Metazoa; Chordata; Mammalia; Rodentia; Bathyergidae.